CCUCCACACACCAUCCUGAAGUCACCCCAACUUCUACCACCAUCACCCCCAAUCCCACCAGUACAGGAACCGGCACCCCUGUGGCCGACACCACCUCAGCCACCAGCAGCAGGCUACCCACACCCUUCACCACACACUCCCCACCUACAGGGAGCAGUCCCUUCUCUUCCACAGGUCCUGUGACUGCAACAUCCUUUCAGACCACCACUACCUAUCCAACCCCAUCACACCCUCAGACCACACUUCCCACUCACAUUCCACUUUUCUCCACCUCCUUGGUGACUCCAAGUACUCACACGGUCAUCACCCCUACCCACGCACAGAUGUCCACUUCUGCCCAUAUCCACUCAAUGCCAACAGGCACCAUUCCUCCACCAACAACGCUCAAGGCCACAGGGUCCACCCACACAGCCCCACCAAUGACAGUGACCACCAGUGGGACCAGCCAAACCCACAGCUCAUUCAGCACAGC
RNAcentral lists this long non-coding RNA (472 nucleotides) under Pan troglodytes (chimpanzee). RNAcentral's name for it is "long non-coding RNA NONPTRT002923". Lineage: Eukaryota; Metazoa; Chordata; Mammalia; Primates; Hominidae. The record is from RNAcentral.